GGAUCUUAGGACCUCCCGCUACAGGGGCGGCCGAUGGCAGAUUAGCUAGUUGGUGGGGUAAAGGCCUACCAAGGCGACGAUCUGUAGCUGGUCUGAGAGGACGACCAGCCACACUGGGACUGAGACACGGCCCAGACUCCUACGGGAGGCAGCAGUGGGGAAUUUUGGACAAUGGGGGAAACCCUGAUCCAGCAAUGCCGCGUGUGUGAAGAAGGCCUUCGGGUUGUAAAGCACUUUUGUCCGGAAAGAAAUCCUCUUCGCUAAUACCGAGGGGGGAUGACGGUACCGGAAGAAUAAGCACCGGCUAACUACGUGCCAGCAGCCGCGGUAAUACGUAGGGUGCAAGCGUUAAUCGGAAUUACUGGGCGUAAAGCGUGCGCAGGCGGUUCGCUAAGACAGAUGUGAAAUCCCCGGGCUUAACCUGGGAACUGCAUUUGUGACUGGCGGGCUAGAGUAUGGCAGAGGGGGGUAGAAUUCCACGUGUAGCAGUGAAAUGCGUAGAGAUGUGGAGGAAUACCGAUGGCGAAGGCAGCCCCCUGGGCCAAUACUGACGCU
This 555-nucleotide ribosomal RNA is filed under the name Paraburkholderia sp. RNAcentral describes it as "bacterial SSU rRNA". It matches the Rfam family "Bacterial small subunit ribosomal RNA", at positions 202 to 747 of the family's 1533-position model. Lineage: Bacteria; Pseudomonadati; Pseudomonadota; Betaproteobacteria; Burkholderiales; Burkholderiaceae. The record is from RNAcentral.